UGAUGUUGUUUCUUUUUCUUUUAUUUCUUUUAUUCAAUUCAAAAUCCUAUAUGAAAUAGAUUUUUCUAUUGCCUUGAUCAGAUGUAGACGACAUAGUUUUUGAGCAUUUCAACUCAAUAUCUAUAACAACAUCAAAUAAAUAAUAAUUUUUAUUGAGAAUGUUUAACUACAUUAUGAGGUUAUUAUGAUUACAAUGGUUAUAUUUAUAAACACCAACUUGCAAUUUAGGUGAUAGAGCAUAUAUGUCAUUUCAAAAAGCUAUCUAUGUCAUUUGUGGUAAAGAUAACAAAAUCUAAUAUUAGAGGAUUUUAGAGAUUUUGAUAUACUACAAGAAUUAAAUGCAAUAUUCUUUGAUUUUUUUUAAAUGUUUUUAUUCAUAAUAUACCCCCUAAAUUUUAUUUCAAAAUAGAUCUAAAACAUAUUAUCUCGAUCGUCUUAAUACAAUUUGAAAAUCUCGUGUUAAUUUUCUUGUUAAAGUCGAUUUUAAAAUUACUCUUGGAAAAUAAUUCUGAACUGUUCUCUUAACGUUAAACUCCAGUGAGGAAUGCUGUGUGUUGAGAAGAUCUUUCGAAUAAUUAUCAUCAACAAUGAAAUUGUCUCUACACAAACAAUCACCAACUUGAAAAUCUCAUAUAAUACAAAUUUUAUUUUUAUUAUUUUAUUUUUAUCAUUGAUAGGUAUAUAUAUAUAUAUAUAUAUAUAUAUGUUUGCUUCAAGUAAAAAAAUUAUGUAUUUGUUAUUCUAUAAAAAUAUCCAGUUGAAAUUCAAGGUUUUCAGAAAUAACUUUAUAGUAAAUGUAUAAGAAAAAUCAAAAAUUUCAAUGUAAAAAUCAGAAUUUUGAUUACAUUGAAUAUGUAAUAUAAUUCAAAAUAAAUAAUCUUUUAUUCAUCCUCAGUAACAUGACGAUUCUGUGUUCAUGUAUUUUAGUAAAAUUAUUUUAAAAUUCUUAACUGUAACAAUUUUCAGAAUAUUGGAUUUUAGAGGAACUAAGGAU
Molecule: long non-coding RNA, 994 nt
Filed under: Physcomitrium patens
Lineage: Eukaryota; Viridiplantae; Streptophyta; Bryopsida; Funariales; Funariaceae
Description: long non-coding RNA (PPAT_LNC009836)
Source: RNAcentral